ACGAACGCUGGCGGCGUGCUUAACACCUGCAAGUCGAACGGAAAGGCCCUGCUUGCAGGGUACUCGAGUGGCGAACGGGUGAGUAACACGUGGGUGAUCUGCCCUGCACUUCGGGAUAAGCCUGGGAAACUGGGUCUAAUACCGGAUAGGAGCCAUUUUUAGUGUGAUGGUUGGAAAGUUUUUUCGGUGUAGGAUGAGCUCGCGGCCUAUCAGCUUGUUGGUGGGGUAAUGGCCUACCAAGGCGGCGACGGGUAGCCGGCCUGAGAGGGUGGACGGCCACAUUUGGACUGAGAUACGGCCCAGACUCCUACGGGAGGCAGCAGUGGGGAAUAUUGCACAAUGGGCGCAAGCCUGAUGCAGCGACGCCGCGUGGGGGAUGACGGCCUUCGGGUUGUAAACUCCUUUCGCUAGGGACGAAGCUUUUUGUGACGGUACCUAGAUAAGAAGCACCGGCUAACUACGUG
This 464-nucleotide ribosomal RNA is filed under the name uncultured bacterium. Its description in RNAcentral is "partial 16S ribosomal RNA". It matches the Rfam family "Bacterial small subunit ribosomal RNA", at positions 29 to 507 of the family's 1533-position model. The record is from RNAcentral.